Molecule: ribosomal RNA, 713 nt
Filed under: Salmonella enterica subsp. enterica serovar Oranienburg
Lineage: Bacteria; Pseudomonadati; Pseudomonadota; Gammaproteobacteria; Enterobacterales; Enterobacteriaceae
Description: bacterial LSU rRNA
Rfam family: Bacterial large subunit ribosomal RNA
Source: RNAcentral
GGGUUGUGAGGUUAAGCGACUAAGCGUACACGGUGGAUGCCCUGGCAGUCAGAGGCGAUGAAGGGCGUGCUAAUUUAGUGGAAGCGUCUGGAAAGGCGCGCGAUACAGGGUGACAGCCCCGUACACAAAAGCGCAUGUGCUGUGAGCUCGAUGAGUAGGGCGGGACACGUGGUAUCCUGUCUGAAUAUGGGGGGACCAUCCUCCAAGGCUAAAUACUCCUGACUGACCGAUAGUGAACCAGUACCGUGAGGGAAAGGCGAAAAGAACCCCGGCGAGGGGAGUGAAAAAGAACCUGAAACCGUGUACGUACAAGCAGUGGGAGCACCCUUUGGGGUGUGACUGCGUACCUUUUGUAUAAUGGGUCAGCGACUUAUAUUCUGUAGCAAGGUUAACCGUAUAGGGGAGCCGGAGGGAAACCGAGUCUUAACCGGGCGUUAAGUUGCAGGGUAUAGACCCGAAACCCGGUGAUCUAGCCAUGGGCAGGUUGAAGGUUGGGUAACACUAACUGGAGGACCGAACCGACUAAUGUUGAAAAAUUAGCGGAUGACCUGUGGCUGGGGGUGAAAGGCCAAUCAAACCGGGAGAUAGCUGGUUCUCCCCGAAAGCUAUUUAGGUAGCGCCUCGUGAACUCAUCUCCGGGGGUAGAGCACUGUUUCGGCUAGGGGGCCAUCCCGGCUUACCAACCCGAUGCAAACUGCGAAUACCGGAGAAUG